RNAcentral lists this ribosomal RNA (468 nucleotides) under uncultured bacterium. Its description in RNAcentral is "partial 16S ribosomal RNA". It matches the Rfam family "Bacterial small subunit ribosomal RNA", at positions 28 to 507 of the family's 1533-position model. The record is from RNAcentral.
GACGAACGCUGGCGGCGUGCUUAACACAUGCAAGUCGAACGGAAAGGCCCUGCUUUUGUGGGGUGCUCGAGUGGCGAACGGGUGAGUAACACGUGAGUAACCUGCCCUUGACUUUGGGAUAACUUCAGGAAACUGGGGCUAAUACCGGAUAGGAGCUCCUGCUGCAUGGUGGGGGUUGGAAAGUUUCGGCGGUUGGGGAUGGACUCGCGGCUUAUCAGCUUGUUGGUGGGGUAGUGGCUUACCAAGGCUUUGACGGGUAGCCGGCCUGAGAGGGUGACCGGCCACCAUGGGACUGAGAUACGGCGCAGACUCCUACGGGAGGCAGCAGUGGGGAAUAUUGCACAAUGGGCGGAAGCCUGAUGCAGCAACGCCGCGUGCGGGAUGACGGCCUUCGGGUUGUAAACCGCUUUCGCCUGUGACGAAGCGUGAGUGACGGUAAUGGGUAAAGAAGCACCGGCUAACUACGUG